Molecule: transfer RNA, 76 nt
Filed under: Mariprofundales bacterium
Lineage: Bacteria; Pseudomonadati; Pseudomonadota; Candidatius Mariprofundia; Mariprofundales
Description: tRNA-Trp
Rfam family: tRNA
About the family: Transfer RNA (tRNA) molecules are approximately 80 nucleotides in length. Their secondary structure includes four short double-helical elements and three loops (D, anti-codon, and T loops). Further hydrogen bonds mediate the characteristic L-shaped molecular structure. tRNAs have two regions of fundamental functional importance: the anti-codon, which is responsible for specific mRNA codon recognition, and the 3' end, to which the tRNAs corresponding amino acid is attached (by aminoacyl-tRNA synthetases). tRNAs cope with the degeneracy of the genetic code in two manners: having more than one tRNA (with a specific anti-codon) for a particular amino acid; and 'wobble' base-pairing, i.e. permitting non-standard base-pairing at the 3rd anti-codon position.
Source: RNAcentral
AGGUCAGUAGUUCAACUGGUAGAGCACCGGUCUCCAAAACCGGCUGUUGGGGGUUCGAGUCCCUCCUGACCUGCCA